Pteropus alecto (black flying fox) is the source of this 365-nucleotide long non-coding RNA. RefSeq lists it as uncharacterized. The transcript is spliced from 2 exons. The record is from RefSeq and is a predicted model, not a curated record. NCBI's taxonomy places the organism in Eukaryota, Metazoa, Chordata, Mammalia, Chiroptera, Pteropodidae.
AUAACUUGCUGAAAAAUAUCUGAUGUGGAUCUCUCAGAACUCUGCACUUGAAUUUUACAUCUCUCUGCCCUUCUCUUUUGUGCGUAGAUAAGAACUGUCACCAUUUCCCCUUGCUGAAAUGUAUUAACUUUCAGGGACGGUUGACACUCGGCGAUGUGUUCAUAGAAUUCUCUCUGGAGGAGUGGAAAUGCCUGUCACCAGCUCAGCGGGCCUUGUACAGGGAGGUGAUGUUGGAGAGCUACCGGAACCUGCUGUUCCUGGGAAUUUCUGUGUCUGAUCUGUAUAUUGUCUCCAUUUUGGAGCAAGGGAAAGCACCCUGGACUCUGGAGAGCGAGUGGAAAAUACCACAAGAGCCAAAUUGGCGG